UCUACCUUGGGAUUGUUCAUUGGAAUUUCGGGUUUUGGGGGCGUUCGUUGGAGUUUUGGGUUUUGGAGUUUCUACCUUGGGAUCGGUCAUUGGAAUUUUGGGUUUUGGAGUUUGGGUUUUGGAGGUUCUACCUUGGGAUUGUUCAUUGAGGUUUUGGGGUUUGGAGUUUCGACCUUGGGAUUGUUCAUUGGAAGUUUGGGUUUUGGAGUUUGGGGGUGUUUGUUGGAAUUUUGGGUUUUGGAGUUUCUACCUUGGGAUCGGUCAUUGGAAUUUUGGGGUUUGGAGUUUGGGGUUUGGAGUUUCUACCUUGGGAUCGUUCACUGGAGUUUCUACUCUGGGAUUGUUCAUUGAGGUUUUGGAGGUUCUACCUUGGGAUCAUUUGAUGGGGUUUUGGGUUUUGCAGUUUCUACUUUGGGAUCGUUCAUUGGGGUUUUGGAGUUUGGGUUUUGGGGGUGUUUGUUGGAGUUUGGGUUUUGGAGUUUCUACGUUGGGAUCGUUCGUUGCAGUUUUGGAGUUUGGGUUUUGGGGGUGUUUGUUGGAAUUUUGCGUUUUGGAGUUUCUGCCUUGGGAUUGCUCAUUGGAACUUUGGGUUUUGGAGUUUCUACCUUGGGACCGUUCGUUGGAAAUUUGGGGUUUGGAGUUUGGGUUUUGGGGGUGUUUUUUUGAAUUUUGGGUUUUGGAGUUUCUACGUUGGGAUCAUUCGUUGGAAUUUUGGGUUUUGCAGUUUCUACCUUGGGAUCGUUCGUUGGGGUUUUGGAGUUUGGGGGCGUUCGUUGGAAGUUUGUGUUUUGGAGUUUGGGUUUUGGGGGUGUUUGUUGGAAUUUUGGGUUUUGGAGUUUCUACCUUGGGAUUGUUCAUUGGAAUUUUGGGUUUUGGAGUCUGGGGGUGUUUGUUGGAGUUUUGGGUUUUGGAGUUUCUACCUUGGGAUCAUUGGAGUUUCUACCUUGGGAUCGUUCGUUGGGGUUUUGGAGUUUGGGUUUUGGGGGCGUUCGUUGCAGUUUUGGUGGCGUUUGUUGGAAUUUUGGGUUUUGGAGUUUCUACUCUGGGAUUGUUCGUUGGAAGUUUGGGUUUUGGAGUUUGGGUUUUGGGGGCGUUCGUUGGAGUUUUGGGUGUUGGAGUUUCUACCUUGGGAUUGUUUGAUGGGGUUUUGGGGUUUGGGUUUUGGGGGCGUUUGUGGGAAUUUUGGGUUUGGGAGUUUCUACAUUGGGAUCGUUCACUGGAGUUUCUACCUUGGGAAUGUUCAUUAGAAUUUUGGGUUUUGGGGGCGUUCGUUGGAAUUUUGGGGUUUGGAGUUUGGGUUUUGGAGGUUCUACCUUGGGAUCGUUCAUUGGAAUUUUGGGUUUUGGAGUCUGGGUUUUGGGGGUGUUCGUUGGGGUUUUGGGUUUUGGGUUUUGGGGGCGUUAGUUGGAAUUUUAGGUUUUGGAGUUUCUACCUUGGGAUUGUUCAUUGGGGUUUUGGGUUUUGGGGUUUGGGUUUUGGGGGUGUUUGUUGCAAUUCUGGGCUUUGGAGUCUCUACCUUGGGGUCGUUCACUGGAGUUUCUACGUUGGGAUUGUUCAUUGGAAGUUUGUGUUUUGGAGUUUGGGUUUUAGGGUGUUUAUUGCAAUUUUGGGUGUUGGAGUUUCUACCGUAGGAUUGUUCGUUGGAGUUUCUACCUUGGGAUCAUUCAUUGGGGUUUUGGAGUUUGGGUUUUGGGGGCGUUCGUUGGAAUUUUGGGUUUUGGAGUUUGGGUUUUGGGGGCGUUCGU
This 1745-nucleotide long non-coding RNA is filed under the name Zonotrichia albicollis (white-throated sparrow). Its description in RNAcentral is "lncRNA (ENSZALG00000002142.1)". Lineage: Eukaryota; Metazoa; Chordata; Aves; Passeriformes; Passerellidae. The record is from RNAcentral.